UAAUGGCAGGUCAGCAUACUGCCGUGAAUACGUUUCCGGGCCUUGUACACACCGCCCGUCACACCAUGAGAGUUGGGGAUACCCGAAGCCUGUGAGCUAACUAUUUAUAGGAGCAGCAGUCGAAGGUAGAAUCAAUGAUUGGGGUGAAGUCGUAACAAGGUACC
This 164-nucleotide ribosomal RNA is filed under the name uncultured bacterium. Its description in RNAcentral is "partial 16S ribosomal RNA". It matches the Rfam family "Bacterial small subunit ribosomal RNA", at positions 1339 to 1500 of the family's 1533-position model. The record is from RNAcentral.